AUAAUCUAUAUAACAAAACCUUUCCAUCUCUAAGAUUAUUUUUUUUAUUUUAGUCAUUACUUAAUCAUUUUUAACAAAAAUUUUUACAAAUUACACUUAAAAAUUUUCGUCUAAUUAGUCUUUUCCACUUUUAGUAGCUAAAUAUGAUGGUUUUAUGGAGUUAUAUUUUUAAGGUAAUUUUAACGUAAUAAUCGUGUGAAAGGGAUUCUUUUUUCUUUUUUGAUGAGAGUGGAAUGGGAAUUGUAAGGUUUUAGUGCAUUACCAGUUCAAUGUUCCCAUCCCAAAGAAAAAGUUGCAUGCAUUUAAUACCCUCUCCUAUAAAAGAGAGCUUGAGAAAUUUAGGAAGAAGAAGUCUUUAAACUCUAUAUUUGAGUUUUUGAAGAAAGGGAAUUAAGAAAAAGAAUGAAAGAGGGACAAGGAGAAGAAACGUGAAAGGAAAAGAGAGAAGAAGAUGAGUAAAAAAACAUUUUAAUCUCAGCCAUAGAUUUAUAAAAUCAAUGGUUAAAAAAAUAUUUUACAUUAAUUAAAGUAGAUUUCUCCUCACGUAUUACAGUAAGUAGUUUGUUUUUUUACCAAAAUUUGAGAAAUUUUAUUCUGCAAUUAAUAUCGUCAUAAGUCUAUUAUGAAAUUACUUUUGUAGUUAUAAUCACUCAUAUAACUCUUAAUAUAUAGAAAACAACAUACUUAAUGAGAUAGGAAUUGAGCAUAAAUUGCUAGGUCCUUCGGUAUCCAAAAGAAUGUUAUCUCCUAGGCUUCAUGCUUCUACGUCUGAUAAAUACUUUCAUUUCGUUAGUUCUUUAUCUAAUAUACUCUUGUUAUGAAUCUCUAUUAUAAAAAAAUUCCAAUUCCUUUGUAGGAUAUGAUGUGAAUUUUCAUAGAUUCUGUACGUUAGUGCUGGAGAAUUUAAAUUCCACAAUAGUAAUAGAUGAUUGUUUUAUACUUAUUUAAUUUUCAUAAAAAGUUAAUGCCAUAAAUGAUUUCUUAAUUAUAGUGAAAUGUUUAAUAUGAUAUCUAAACUUUAUAAAUCUCUAUAUGUGACACAUAAACUGUGAAUUUAUUAAUUAAUAUAGUAUUUGAAUAGCUAUUUAUCUCUUAUGUAUUGUUAUUUGAAAUUAACCACAAUAAAAAUAAGUAAUGCAUUAGUUAAUAAAUUUAUAAUUAAAAUAUUAUUAUUUAAGACAUUAACCUUUUUAUAAAUAUAUAUAAUGAAAACAUGUCAAUUUUUAAAUUCUUCUUGUGGAAUAUAAAAACUUCAUUAUCGGUAUAGAAAAAAUUGUUAAAAUAUACAACAUAAUUUUUUAAGAAAUAUGUAAAGAGUAACGUAAAAAUGAUGUAGACAUGCAUGACUAAAACAAACAUCGAUAAUCAAACAAGAUUCAUACAUUUAAGAGAAAAGCAAGGGAAUUUUGCUUCUAACUAAAACAAAUCCAAAUAAAGGAAAUUCUAUCUUGUUAAGAUUUUAUGAAAUCCCAUCAAAUUUGUUUGUAUUUAUAAUGGUUCUAAUAAAAGUUAUCUAGUAUGAUUUUACGAAAUCCAAUGAAAUAAAUGCUUUUUUGACUAGCAUUAAUUAGACUCUAAACAACAUACAACUCUCCUGCAAAAUUAAUCUAUAAUUAUUUUCGAUUGGAAAAGGAAAAGAUAUGUACGAAAGGGGAAGUAACAGAGUAUUGUGCAUUGUCUAACUCGAAGAAGAAAAGAAAGUAAUGGUGUCAUCUAUGGCAGUUGUGACCAUCAAUUAUUUAUUAUUCUUCUAUCUUUUGGAUUGAUUAUACUUUUGACAAAUUCUCUAACGAUUUGACCAUUAAUUAGUCCGAUCUUGCCUUAAUACAGUCGAAAUUAUCACAUUAAUCAUCAAUUAUUGUAAUUAAUUAAUGAAAAAAUAUUAUUAUGAAAAGUAAUUUUAACAAAUUCCUAGCACUAAUCCACCAUCCAAUUCUUUAUGUGGCUUUUAAUGAGAAAUUAUUAUAUAGUUCUUUCUUAUCACAUCUGUUGCAGACCUAACUAAACCAAAUCUGGAUACAGCGUGACAUUAAAACAUGUCAUAUUUAUCAACAUGCAUGAGUUUUCAUAUUUAUGAUAAUGCAUGUUGAGAUAGCUAAGUCGUUCUAACGACGUAUUAUACGUUGAUUGAUGAUUGGAUUUACAAUUGACGUACGUAAUAAAGAAAAGUAUAAACUCUAAUAUAAUAAUUUCUCCUAAUCGGGAUGGGACAGUAAAUUAACUUACAAUUUUGACAAAGCUGUCAAUAUUCCAUGGCCUGUUCGAAUUUAUGCAGCGUUUUGCUUAUUUAGUUUUUAGGACACUUUGAUUUGAUUUUCUUUUAUAUGACAGUAAGUGCUUCAACACCGGAAUUGCCCUACAUCAGAUUCAAUCUUCUUUAUCUCUUUGAUAUAUAAAUAUAUAUAUUUAUAUAUAUGUGUGUGUGUUUUACAUCAUAAAGAUUUGUUUGAUAGAGUUGGUGUUUUAAGGGCUAAUGAUCCUGCAAUAUUUGAUUCUAC
This 2498-nucleotide long non-coding RNA is filed under the name Durio zibethinus. Its description in RNAcentral is "long non-coding RNA (DZIB_LNC000677)". The record is from RNAcentral. Lineage: Eukaryota; Viridiplantae; Streptophyta; Magnoliopsida; Malvales; Malvaceae.